This 434-nucleotide ribosomal RNA is filed under the name uncultured bacterium. RNAcentral's name for it is "partial 16S ribosomal RNA". It matches the Rfam family "Bacterial small subunit ribosomal RNA", at positions 29 to 507 of the family's 1533-position model. The record is from RNAcentral.
AGCGAACGCUGGCGGCAGGCCUAACACAUGCAAGUCGAACGAACCUUUCGGGGUUAGUGGCGGACGGGUGAGUAACACGUGGGAACGUGCCCUUAGGUUCGGCAUAACUCAGGGAAACUUGUGCUAAUACCGAAUGUGCCCUUCGGGGGAAAGAUUAAUCGCCCUUAGAGCGGCCCGCGUCUGAUUAGCUAGUUGGUUGAGGUAAUGGCUCACCAAGGCGACGAUCAGUAGCUGGUCUGGGAGGCUGAUCAGCGACAUUGGGGCUGAGACACGGCCCAAACUCCUACGGGAGGCAGCAGUGGGGAAUCUUGCGCAAUGGGCGAAAGCCUGACGCAGCCAUGCCGCGUGAAUGAUGAAGGUCUUAGGAUUGUAAAAUUCUUUCACCGGGGACGAUAAUGACGGUACCCGGAGAAGAAGCCCCGGCUAACUUCGUG